This is a long non-coding RNA of Ostrea edulis (European flat oyster), 527 nucleotides long. RefSeq lists it as uncharacterized. NCBI's taxonomy places the organism in Eukaryota, Metazoa, Mollusca, Bivalvia, Ostreida, Ostreidae. The transcript has 2 exons. The record is from RefSeq and is a predicted model, not a curated record.
AGCAAAAGAUAAAGAACGGUUAUUACGUAAGGUGCAUGGACAGUUCCAAUCAAGUGGGAAUCAAUCGGUCAACGAUGAUAACAGUGAUAAUUGCUUUGUGCUAGCGUCAAAUUACAGCUGGUUGCCACAUGUGAAGUUUCUUUCUUUUUCUUAAAUCUAUUCAUAAAGAUCCCCAGAGAUUCACUUCAUUAGAUUUCAACAGGAGGGGAAUUCCACUCAUUUAUAACAGCUGGUACUCAUGGAUUUUUAUAGAUGUGACGUUUACAUACAGAUUAAAAUCUAAAGUCCUUCCAUUUAAACGUCAUGUCACGGAGUUAAUACCGAAGUGGGCUAUUCAAUUGGUCAGCACUACUCGAACAAUCAUAGGAACUUAUACAUGUAGGUGGAGACCAAUGUCCGAUCAGGCAUCAGGACUUACUUGAGAAGCAGUACUGAGACAUAUUGCAUAUCAACAUCAGCUUCAACUUUGUUUGAAUCCAAUGUAAUUUUUGCUUCCAAUUAUUCAGAAUAUAUAUAUAUAUAUAGAU